CAUUCACGGAUUCCGUGAUGCAGCUAACGCAUUAAGUUCCCCUCCUGGGGAGUACGGCCGCAAGGCUAAAAAUCAAAGGAAUUGACGGGGGGCCGCACAAGCGGCGGAGCAUGCGGAUUAAUUCGAUGCAACACGAAGAACCUUACCAAGGCUUGACAUAUACGAGAACGGGCCAKAAAUGGUCAACUCUUUGGACACUCGUAAACAGGUGGUGCAUGGUUGUCGUCAGCUCGUGUCGUGAGAGGGUGGGUUAAGUCCCGCAACGAGCGCAACCCUCGUUCUAUGUUGCCAGCAUGUAAUGGUGGGAACUCWUGGGAUACUGCCGGGGUCAACUCSGAGGAAGGWGGGGAUGACGUCAAAUCAUCAUGCCCCUCAUGUCUUGGGCUUCACGCAUGCUACAAUGACCGGUACAAAGGGCUGCAAUACCGGGAGGUGGAGGGAAUCCCAAAAAGCCGGUAUCASUUUUGAUUGAGGUCUGCAACUCGACCUCAUGAAGUCGGAGUCGCUAGUAAUCACAGAUCAACCACGCUGCGGGGAAUACGUUCCCGGGUCUUGUACACACCGCCCGUCAAGUCAUGAAAGUC
RNAcentral lists this ribosomal RNA (584 nucleotides) under Microbacterium aurantiacum. RNAcentral's name for it is "partial 16S ribosomal RNA". Lineage: Bacteria; Bacillati; Actinomycetota; Actinomycetes; Micrococcales; Microbacteriaceae. The record is from RNAcentral.